CCAGCAGCCGCGGUAAUACGGGGGGGGCAAGCGUUGUUCGGAAUUACUGGGUGUAAAGGGUUCGUAGGCGGUGCGGCAAGUUGGGAGUGAAAUCUCUGGGCUUAACCCAGAGGCUGCUUUCAAAACUGCCGUGCUCGAGUGCGAGAGAGGCCAGUGGAAUUGCAGGUGUAGCGGUGAAAUGCGCAGAUAUCAGGAGGAACACCGGUGGCGAAGGCGGAUCUCUGGGCCAUUACUGACGCUGAGGAGCGAAAGCGUGGGGAGCGAACAGGAUUAGAUACCCUGGUA
RNAcentral lists this ribosomal RNA (285 nucleotides) under uncultured Actinomycetes bacterium. RNAcentral's name for it is "uncultured actinobacterium partial 16S ribosomal RNA". It matches the Rfam family "Bacterial small subunit ribosomal RNA", at positions 508 to 792 of the family's 1533-position model. The record is from RNAcentral. Lineage: Bacteria; Bacillati; Actinomycetota; Actinomycetes.